Molecule: ribosomal RNA, 465 nt
Filed under: uncultured Klebsiella sp.
Lineage: Bacteria; Pseudomonadati; Pseudomonadota; Gammaproteobacteria; Enterobacterales; Enterobacteriaceae
Description: bacterial SSU rRNA
Rfam family: Bacterial small subunit ribosomal RNA
Source: RNAcentral
CCUACGGGUGGCUGCAGUGGGGAAUAUUGCACAAUGGGCGCAAGCCUGAUGCAGCCAUGCCGCGUGUGUGAAGAAGGCCUUCGGGUUGUAAAGCACUUUCAGCGGGGAGGAAGGCGGUGAGGUUAAUAACCUCAUCGAUUGACGUUACCCGCAGAAGAAGCACCGGCUAACUCCGUGCCAGCAGCCGCGGUAAUACGGAGGGUGCAAGCGUUAAUCGGAAUUACUGGGCGUAAAGCGCACGCAGGCGGUCUGUCAAGUCGGAUGUGAAAGCCACGGGCUCAACCUGGGAACUGCAUUCGAAACUGGCAGGCUAGAGUCUUGUAGAGGGGGGUAGAAUUCCAGGUGUAGCGGUGAAAUGCGUAGAGAUCUGGAGGAAUACCGGUGGCGAAGGCGGCCCCCUGGACAAAGACUGACGCUCAGGUGCGAAAGCGUGGGGAGCAAACAGGAUUAGAUACCCUAGUAGUC